This 496-nucleotide ribosomal RNA is filed under the name uncultured bacterium. RNAcentral describes it as "partial 16S ribosomal RNA". It matches the Rfam family "Bacterial small subunit ribosomal RNA", at positions 28 to 506 of the family's 1533-position model. The record is from RNAcentral.
GAUGAACGCUGGCGGCGUGCCUAAUACAUGCAAGUCGAGCGAACAGACGAGGAGCUUGCUCCUCUGACGUUAGCGGUGGACGGGUGAGUAACACGUGGAUAACCUACCUAUAAGACUGGGAUAACUUCGGGAAACCGGAGCUAAUACCGGAUAACAUGUUGAACCGCAUGGUUCAACAGUGAAAGACGGUCUUGCUGUCACUUAUAGAUGGAUCCGCGCCGCAUUAGCUAGUUGGUAAGGUAACGGCUUACCAAGGCAACGAUGCGUAGCCGACCUGAGAGGGUGAUCGGCCACACUGGAACUGAGACACGGUCCAGACUCCUACGGGAGGCAGCAGUAGGGAAUCUUCCGCAAUGGGCGAAAGCCUGACGGAGCAACGCCGCGUGAGUGAAGAAGGUCUUCGGAUCGUAAAACUCUGUUAUUAGGGAAGAACAAAUGUGUAAGUAACUAUGCACGUCUUGACGGUACCUAAUCAGAAAGCCACGGCUAACUACGU